RNAcentral lists this ribosomal RNA (254 nucleotides) under uncultured bacterium. RNAcentral describes it as "partial 16S ribosomal RNA". It matches the Rfam family "Bacterial small subunit ribosomal RNA", at positions 524 to 777 of the family's 1533-position model. The record is from RNAcentral.
UACGAAGGGUGCAAGCGUUACUCGGAAUUACUGGGCGUAAAGCGUGCGUAGGCGGUUUGUUAAGUCCGUUGUGAAAGCCCUGGGCUCAACCUGGGAAUUGCAGUGGAUACUGGCGAGCUAGAGUGCGGUAGAGGAUGGUGGAAUUCCCGGUGUAGCGGUGAAAUGCGUAGAGAUCGGGAGGAACACCCGUGGCGAAGGCGGCCAUCUGGACCAGCACUGACGCUGAGGCACGAAAGCGUGGGUAGCAAACAGGG